AAAUGACGGUACCUGACUAAGAAGCCCCGGCUAAAUACGUGCCAGCAGCCGCGGUAAUACGUAUGGGGCAAGCGUUAUCCGGAUUUACUGGGUGUAAAGGGAGCGUAGGCGGCUUGGUAAGUCAGAAGUGAAAGCCCGGGGCUCAACCCCGGGACUGCUUUUGAAACUAUCAUGCUAGAGUGUCGGAGAGGUAAGUGGAAUUCCUAGUGUAGCGGUGAAAUGCGUAGAUAUUAGGAGGAACACCAGUGGCGAAGGCGGCUUACUGGACGAUAACUGACGCUGAGGCUCGAAAGCGUGGGGAGCAAACAGGAUUAGAUACCCUGGUAGUCCACGCUGUAAACGAUGAAUACUAGGUGUUGGGAAGCAAAGCUUCUCGGUGCCGCAGCUAACGCAUUAAGUAUUCCACCUGGGGAGUACGUUCGCAAGAAUGAAACUCA
Molecule: ribosomal RNA, 437 nt
Filed under: uncultured microorganism
Description: bacterial SSU rRNA
Rfam family: Bacterial small subunit ribosomal RNA
Source: RNAcentral